Molecule: ribosomal RNA, 502 nt
Filed under: uncultured bacterium
Lineage: Bacteria
Description: bacterial SSU rRNA
Rfam family: Bacterial small subunit ribosomal RNA
Source: RNAcentral
UCAGGAUGAACGCUAGCGGCAGGCUUAACACAUGCAAGUCGAGGGGCAGCGGGAUGUAGCAAUACAUUGCCGGCGACCGGCGGAUGGGUGCGUAACGCGUAUGCAACCUACCUUAUACAGGGGAAUAACCUUUCGAAAGGGAGACUAACACCCCAUAGUAUUGAUUUAAGGCAUCUUAGAUUAAUUAAAUAUUUAUAGGUAUAAGAUGGGCAUGCGUAUGAUUAGCUAGUUGGUAAGGUAACGGCUUACCAAGGCGACGAUCAUUAGGGGUUCUGAGAGGAAGGUCCCCCACACUGGUACUGAGACACGGACCAGACUCCUACGGGAGGCAGCAGUGAGGAAUAUUGGUCAAUGGGCGCAAGCCUGAACCAGCCAUGCCGCGUGCAGGAAAGACGGCCUUAUGGGUUGUAAACUGCUUUUACAUAAGACUAACCGUAUAUUUGCGAAUAUACCUGAAUGUAUUAUGAGAAUAAGGAUCGGCUAACUCCGUGCCAGCCGCUGC